GGGAAGCCACCAUCCCCACCAGGCCCUCGAGGCCUUCCCUUGGUGGGAAGCCUUCCCUUCCUUCAACCUGACCUUCACUCCUACUUCGCCGAACUAGCUCGUACCUACGGGCCUGUCGUGAAACUCCAGCUCGGGAGCAAGCUUGGGAUCCUGGUGACCUCCCCAUCCGCCGCCCGGGAAGUACUUAAAGACCAAGACAUCGUGUUUGCCAACCGUGAUGUGCCUGUGGCUGGCAUGUUAUUGACGGGCGGGCGUGAUAUAGUGUGGAACCCCUACGGUCCUGAAUGGAGGAUGUUGAGAAAGGUAUGUGUACUCAAGAUGCUUAGCAACGCUACUUUGGACAAAGUUUAUUCUCUUCGCCGUAGAGAAGUACGAGAAACCGUGGGUUAUAUGCAUAGCACUGCCGGAUCGCCUGUAAACGUCGGUGAGCAAAUGUUUUUAACUAUAUUGAAUGUGGUCACCAGUAUGUUAUGGGGUGGGACGGUGGAGGGUGACGCCAGGGCGAGCCUUGGUGCGGAGUUCAGGCACGUCAUCUCAGAAGUGACUGAGAUAUUGGGUCUGCCCAAUAUUUCGGACUUUUUCCCAGUCCUGGCCCCGCUUGAUUUGCAAGGUCUAAUCAAACGUAUAGGAAAGCCACUGGAGAGGUUGAAUGGGAUCGUUGAUAAAAUAAUUGAUCAACGGCUGAAUGCGGAGAGGGAAAUUGGGAGCACAGCAGGGAAUUUUAAGGACUUUUUACAGUUUUUAUUACAGUUGAAGGAUGAGGAAGAUUCCAAGACACCGAUGACCAUGAACCAUAUCAAAGCCUUGCUCUUGGUGAGUUCUAAACAAUUCUAAAUCGUACUUUUCUUUUCUUUUUGUGAAAAGUUCUAGAUCUUACUUUUAGAUAUUAGUUGUAGACUGAAAACUUUCUGGUAUAUAGAAUUAUUCAUAAGUAGUUUAAAGCAAAGUUUUAUGAAUUUAAGAUUAAUAUCUAUAAUAUAUAUAAAAGUAGAAUAUUUCAAUUUUUUUAAAUUUUUUUUAUUAAGUCUUCGAUUGAAUGACAAGUGUCAUUCAAUUAGAAUUCUUUUUUAUUUUUGACUUUUUGUUUUUUAUUAAAUUAAAUUUUUUUACACUUUAUGUUAAAAAUAAGUUGUUUUUAACAAUUGAAGAGUUUUUUUUUUACUUUUAUUUAUUUUAAUAAAAAAUACUUAAAAAUAAUAAUUUUUAACUUUUAAUUCUUAAAAGAUAGAUUCAUUUAAUAGCUAUCAAUUAUAAUUUAAUAUUAUAUUUUGUCUAUAUUCUCUUAUUCUACAUGAACCUGAAUCUAUAAUAUAUAGAUAUCUCUUUUAUACUUAAAUAUUUAAAUUUCAAUAGAUAUCCAUCCAAUUCAUUAUAUAAAAGUAGGAUAAUUGAUUUGGUCAAUUAAUUGAUAUUUGUCAUUCUUGAUUAAAUUAAUUUUUUUUACACCUUAUGUCAAAACUACAUUGCUUUUGACAUUUGAAAGGUUUUUUUUCUUUUUUACUUUUAUUUAUUUUAGUAAAAAAUAUUUGAAAAUAAUAAUUUCUAACUUUUAAUGCUUAUAAGAUAGAUUUAUUUAAUAUUUAUCAAUUACAAUUUAAUAUUAUUUUUUAUCUAUAUUCUCUUAUUCUACAUCAACUUGAAUCUAUAGUAUAUAGACAUAUUUUUUGUACAUGAAUGUUUAAAUUCUAAUAAACAUCCAUCCAAUUCAUUUAAUAAAAUUAAAAAGUCAAAAGGGUCUCCUCAUUUCUCAAUAUAUAUGGCACACAGUUAUCAUUGAAUAAAUAAAUCAAUUGAAUUUAAUAACUUUUAGCUAUUCAUUUUAUAUAUAAAAAACAUAUAAUACUAAAAAUUACUAACUAUUUUAUAUUGGUAGGAUAUUUACAUUAUACUAUUGUCUUAUAUUCUACAACUGUUUAUUUUAAACUGUUAAUAGUAUAGGUUAUAUACUUUCUCAUUUCUUAAUAGUUUAUUAUACAUCUAAUAAUAUUUAAUAGGAUUAUCGUUUUUUUUAAUAAAUUUUGUUUUAAAUAGGAUAACUAAUUAGGUCAAUUAGUUGUCAUUCUGAAUUAAAUUAAUUUUUUUUUACACCUUAUGUUAAAGUUGCGUUGUUUUUUACAUUUAAAGGGUUUUUUAUUUUUAUUUAUUUCAGUGAAAAAAAUAUUUGAAAACAAUAAUUUUUAAUUUUUUAAUUCUUNUUUUUAUUUAUUUCAAUGAAAAAAAUACUUGAAAACAAUAAUUUUUAAUUUUUAAUAUUUAGAAUAUAGAUUCAUUUAAUAUUUAUCAAUUGUAAUUUAAUAUUAUUUUUUGUUUAUAUCCUCUUAUUUUGCAUGAACCUCCAUAAUAUUUAAAUAUCUAUUUUAUACAUGAAUGUUUAAAUUUCAAUAAAUAUUUAUCCAAUUCAUUGAACAAAAUAAAAAAGUCAAUAGGGUUUAUUUAUUUCUUAAUAUACAUAGCACAUAGUCAUCAUUGAAUAAAUAAAUCAACUAAAUUUGACAAUAUUUAGCUAUUCAUUUUAUAUAUAAAAGAUAUAUUAUUAUAAAUUAGUAAUUAUUUUAUAUUGAUAGCAUCUUUAUAUUAUACGGUUGCCUUAUAUUGUAUAACUGUUUAUCUUAAUCUGCCAAUAAGAUAUGUUAUACACUCUCUCAUUUCUUAAUAUUCUACUGUUUUAUAAUCAUAUAUGUAGGUGCAAGUUUUCGGUAAUUGAAAUCAGAGUAAAUAAUUAUUUUUAAUUAAUUUCAGUUUAUUUUUUUCUCUAUCAGUAAAAAUCAGACAUUCAUGCAGUUAAUUAAUACAAUAUUACUUUUUUUACAAACUCUUUUAAAGGAACCAAAUUGAAAUCAACUCUAACAUAAUCAAUAUUUUCUGUGAUCUUUUUCGUAGCAUAGCUACGGACACCAUCUUAAUAUGUAUAAAACUGCAAACAAGCCUAUCAUUGCUAGAGUUGGUACCUAAAUUAAGUCAUUGCAAUACACUAAUCUGCACUAAGCUAUCAGAUUAUUCAUUGACAAAAAACCAAAAAAAAAGACACCUUCUUGACUUUUUAAUUUGUGUUAUUUCGUUCUCCACUGCUUGGAGUAGGCAUUAUUGUUUUUUCUUCAAAAUCCUGGCCGCCGGUUGUGGAUAUGGCGGUGGAGACGAGGGGUUCAUUGCCUCUCGGAUAUCAUAAAAUAGAGAUUAAUUAAAUUUAGUCAUAACUCGUAAGGGGACAACAGAGCUUGGAAAGAGUGCACAAUCUUUCGGCACGUUUUCUUGUCCUUGCAUGUUGUAUCCCACGAUAGAAAAACCACCGCAUUCAGUUUUAUUUUUCUACCAAGCAAAAGAUCUGUUGUUAGAGCAUACCAUGAAUUAAAAAGAAAAACUAAUUUCCCAGUCACAUUAUUAGCCACCCUCCUUUAACUUGUGUUAUUAUGAAUGGGUGACAAUGAGAGUGAGACCUAUAAUUGAAAAGUGGCUAUGAAAAUUUCAAAGCCCAAUAAUGGCUAUGAGGCGUACUAAUACAUGGACUUUUUAAUACUUUGGACAGGAUAUGGUGGUGGGAGGAUCAGAGACGUCCUCUAACUCAAUUGAGUUUACACUGGCUGAAGUCAUCAACAAACCAGAAGUCAUGAGAAAAGCACAGCAAGAAUUGGAAGAAGUAGUUGGCAAAGACAAGAUUGUAGAAGAAGCCCACAUUCACAAAUUACCAUAUCUACUUGCAAUUAUGAAAGAGUCAUUGCGUUUGCACCCAGCCCUCCCUCUCCUAGUCCCGCACAGCCCCAGUGAAGACUGUUCAGUUGGCGGUUACUGUAUCCCUAAGGGUUGUAGGGUGUUUGUCAACGCCUGGGCAAUUCACAGAGACCCUUCUGUCUGGGAAAAUCCGUUGGAGUUCAACCCUGACAGGUUUUUGAACAGCAAAUGGGAUUUUAGUGGGAGUGACUUUAAUUAUUUUCCAUUCGGGUCUGGCAGAAGAAUCUGUGCUGGAAUGGCAAUGGCUGAGAGGAUGGUGUUGUAUUCAAUUGCCACGCUCUUGCAUUCUUUUGAUUGGAAAGUGCCGGAGGGUAUGAAGUUGGAUCUUUCAGAGAAGUUCGGGAUUGUCUUGAAGUUGAAGAAUCCACUGGUUGCGGUUCCGACGCCAAGGUUAUCGAAUACAGCUCUUUAUGAAUAAAAAUUUUAGAUUGGAAUCAAUGCCCAUGCUGAGAGGUAUAAAGAAGUUGCUUUAACAGGUUUGGGAUUAUUCAAUUUCUCAAUCUAUUAUGAAGUCAAUUAUUGUACCAAUUGAAUAGUUACACAUUUUGAUAACUUACUUUUGAGAUAAUAUAUUUUCGAUUCUCUUCCAAUUAAUAGUUACUUUUGUUUAUAUGCAAACUGUUUAGGCAUAUAAUGACUUAGAACGGUGUAAUUAGUUUUUUAUAUUAUUUUCUUUUAAUACAAAAAAGAUAUAUAAAUAAAGGAUAAAAUAUCUCACUUUUUAAAUUUUAAUCGAAAUUUUUAAUAGAUCUAUUAGUUUUUCAAAUAAAUACUCCAUUAAAAAAAAAUAUUUUAUUAGACAUAUAAAUUUAGCCGUUGGUCAACCGUUAAUGUUUACAUUAAUUUGAUGAUAUGAUAAUAUUGUAAUAAUAAUUUUAUUUUUUAUUAAUUUUAAAAAUUAUUAUUAUAUAAUUUUUAUUAAUUUUUAUCAGUUUUUUAAUUAGUUUUUUAUUAAUUAAAAAAAAGAGUGCUCCCCAAGAUAAGAGAGCACCGAGGGAAAACUAGAUCGAUACUCCUUUUUUUAUUUUUUUAAAAAUUUAAUGAUAAUUUUUUAAAUUAAUAAAAAAAAGAUAUUUUAAUCUUUUCAUAACAUUUGUUAAUGAUGUUUACAUUUUUGGGUAAAAUGUUUAUUUUGAAAAUUAAUGGAUCCGUUUAAAAUUUUGAUUAAAGUUUAGAUAUGUGGAGGUAUUUUAUCUUAAAAUAAAUUCAUGUUAAAUAAUAUUUGAAUUUAAAUUAAUAUUCAAUAUAAUAUAUGCUAUAUACCUCUUUCCCUUAUUUGCCUUGACUCAUGAGUCCUUGACUAUUGGCCUAUUUAAGAUUGCUUACUUUUUAUACUUAUGAUAUUAAUUGCAAUCCAAUUAAUAUGAUAUCAUUGUGUGGUAAAUUACAGAGAUCUGCAUAUCAUUGACAAAAGAAGAGUCCAAUGCAUAUAAUUGCAUAUAUGAGAUUCUCGAUCAUCUUAUCUCUAUAGUAAAUAUGACACAUUUAACUUAAUCCAAAAUUGAAGAUUAAGAGUUUUUAAUAUGACAAGACUUUCUGUUUUAUAUAUAUAUAUAUAUAUAAACAAACAGCAUCCAAAUUGUUGCAUUAAAUUUGUUGUCAAAGUAAAUUCUUUAUAGUAACUCAUAAAUUUUCAUAAAAUAUACUUAUUUUGUCUCAUUUUAUUUGUCUAUUAUUGAUUUUUUUUAUUAAUAAAUUCAAUUUUGACUAUUUAUUUUUAAUAAAAUUAUAAAAUUUUAAAAGUAAAUUUUCCAAAUUUUGAGUUUCAAACUUUUCACAAAAGAUUUUUUUGAGAUUUUAAUGUUAUAUAAUAUUUUAAAAAAUAAUAGUUAAAACUAAAUUCAUUUAAUCUAAAAAAUCAAUAAAAGACAAAUAAAAUGGACAGAGAAAGUUUUUUUUUUUAUAAGAUACUAGAGUAUGGCCCGUGCUAUGCCUGCAAGUAGGUACGAAAUGGUUAACAUAACAAAUAUAUUAGUUUUUCAGUUAUAGAAAUAUUUAUACACUACAUUGAUUUAAAAAGUUGCAAAUAACCCAACCAAAACCCUUAAGAGAGAGUUUUAAUAUAUAGUUAUAGAUAUAGGUAUUACAAUAUUAUGAUACAUUAAGAAAAAAAAUCAUCCAUGAAUAAUAUUUUUAAAAAAUUAGUAUAUUAAUCAGUAAUCAUUCAUGAAACAAAGUUAAUUUUCCCUUUUAAUAUAAAUUAAACUAAGACAAAAAUAUCAGUGAUAAAUAAAUAAAAAUUUUCCUUGAAUUUCUAAGAAAUGAAUAAGCUAACUUGUUCACCAAUCAGUUAGUUAGAGAAGUUCAUUCUUCUAUUGCCUAAAUAACAAUAUUCAUAAUUAAUUAAAGCUAGUUCACUGGCAUUUUUUAUGAGAAAGACAGAAUUAAUUGGGAGAUCAAUUUCAGUUGCAGAUUCUCAGGGCAUUCGAAAAAUUAUUCCUAUCAAUUUUUUUUUUUUGUUUUUGGCAAGUUUUCUUAUACUUUGCUAUGUUGGAAUAUGUAAAAAGGAAAUGCAACCAAUCAAGUCAAUUAAGAUAUGAGACAGCAGACUCUACCAAUCUUCUAAAGAAGCCUUGACUAUACAUGGGGGAUAUUGUUCUUGGUCAUAUACAUAAAUACAGUCACGUCGGCUUCAGGCAAAAUAUUGCUAGUUGAUAUGAGAAAUAUUUAAUUUAAUGCAAAUUGGGAUCUUUUUUCCUUUGUUAAAUUUAAGUGAAAGAGCAUCAAACUGAAUGCCUAAAUCAAGAAUUCAUGGAAGCUCUACCCUCAAAACAUGCUUAAUACCAUGACAAAGAAUCAAGAAUCAUAAGAAAACAUAAAAAACUUAAGCCCUUAGAACUAUAAGUGUUAUAAUUAUCAACUAAUUCCCAAAUGAAGGGAUAAUAUAAACACACAUAACCAAAAAAGAUUUCAUUAUCUAUCAGCCAUAACUCAUAAAUCUACAUAUUAUCCAAUUCCAGUAUUAGAAUUAAGAUAAAACCUUAGGAACCGUGUUAAAUUUUAAGAGAAAAUAGCACCAUUUUCAUACUUAGAAGAUAAAUUGCAUAAACUUAAAAUCCGUAAUUCUUAAUUAAACAUAAUCAUCCCAAACAUUAAAUACCAACAAACAACACCAUUCUUUGAAUGAUAAAAAAGUAUAAAAAAAAUAUUUGUUACGGAGGAUCAAAAAUUUGAAAAAAUCAUUUACCAUUUCAUAAUAGAAAAUGAGUUGGAAAUCAAAGAAGAAACCAAAAAAAAAUCAAAAACCAUAAAUGGCCAAAUACCCAACUAAACAACUAAUAAAAAAAAAAGCAAAAAUAAAAAAGCCAAAAAAGAUGUAGAAGUAGAACAUGCAAAAGAGGUGAAUAAAAACAGGAAACAAACCAAAGUAAAGAAGAGAAAGAAAAAGACCAAAAUGGAAUGAAACAACAGGCAAGGAAGCUAAACAAAUAAGGCGGAAAAGAAACGAAAAACAUAAAAACACAUAGAACUCUCCAGAAUUGAGUUGAAAUGAAUAUAAAAGUAAUUGAAUUAAAUAAAUAGCUUAAAACAGCCUCCAAGUAAAAAGCACAUUUACAAUCAAAAGACAAUAGAGUCCUUGAAAAUGGAAAAAACACUAACAAAAUCAUGGAAAAAUCUCUACUAUAGAAAAUCUCUGACAUAGAAGUUGCGUGGAGCAAUUGAGAAUCAUCUACAUUGAGCCAAACAUGUACAGCAGCCCCACAAGCCAACAAAUCUAUGCCUCUAUAAUAAAACUCUGCCCUAAGGGCUUUAUUGAGCCGACGUGGGCUAAUUGCUCGGGUGGAUCAAUAUUGAGUUGAUGAAAACUUACAUGAAUGGAAUGAAAAUAAAUUGAAAUUGAAAGCAGCACAUGGCGCAGGCCAACUGCUCGAGUAGGCCAACAUUGAGCAGAUGAAAACUCACAUGAAUGGAAUUUCACAAAUAGAGCCAUUCCAAUUACACGCCAUGUGUUAUGCAAUUGACAAAUUCAGACGGUACUUAAUUGAAGCCCAUAGGGGAGAGUUUUCUUAUAGAUGGUAUAAGAACUUGAUAAUUUUUAGUAAAAUACCAUUGUCUUUCAAGAAAAAAGAAGGAAGGUGGUUUGAGCCUUUAAUUUUGACUUAAUUGAACUAGUUUCAGUCAUACUAUGUCCGUUCCGACAUAGUGGGAGCGAAGGAGAGAAAAUAGGAAAAUGUUUUUUUGGGUUGAGUGUACAAAUGCACCUAAAAUAGAUGUGGAUCUUAUCCACUCCGUUAAAUCCCUUUGCCAUACUCCAACUAAGCACGAAAGGUAAGGAUCCUUUCUAACUUUUUGCUACAGAACAAAUAUAAAGGCCAAUUUUGCACAAUUUUCCUACCACAUUUUUGCAGCCUCUACCUUGUUAUCCCUUUACGAUGACUCUCAUCUCAAGUUCUCUCCGUUUUGACUACGCUUACUCUAAAAUUUGGUCAUGGUUAAGCAAGAAUACCGACGGAAUUGAUGAUUUCUCACGCCUCUUCUUCACCCUUGUUGGUGUUUUUGCCAUUUUUUCGUAUACAUGGAUGUACAUCAAAUCUAAGAACAAGGGGAAGCCACCAUCCCCACCAGGCCCUCGAGGCCUCCCCUUGGUGGGAAACCUUCCCUUCCUUCAACCUGACCUUCACUUCUACUUCGCCGAACUAGCUCGUACCUAUGGGCCUGUCGUGAAACUCCAGCUUGGGUGCAAGAUUGGGAUCCUGGUGACCUCCCCAUCCACCGCCCGGGAAGUACUUAGAGACCAAGACAUCGUGUUUGCCAACCGUGAUGUGCCUGCGGCUGCCCUGUUAGUAACGGGCGGGCG
RNAcentral lists this long non-coding RNA (8524 nucleotides) under Theobroma cacao (cacao). RNAcentral describes it as "long non-coding RNA (TCAC_LNC002175)". Lineage: Eukaryota; Viridiplantae; Streptophyta; Magnoliopsida; Malvales; Malvaceae. The record is from RNAcentral.